RNAcentral lists this long non-coding RNA (478 nucleotides) under Homo sapiens (human). RNAcentral's name for it is "HSALNT0080543". Lineage: Eukaryota; Metazoa; Chordata; Mammalia; Primates; Hominidae. The record is from RNAcentral.
CACUGCAACCUCUGCCUCCUGGGUUCAAGCAAUUCUCUGCCUCAGCCUCCUGAGUAGCUGGGAUUAUAGGCACCCGGCUAAUUUUUAUAUUUUUAGUAGCGACAGGGUUUCACCAUCUUGGCCAGGCUGGUCUUGAACUCCUGACCUCGUGAUCCACCCGCCUCGGCCUCUCAAAGUGCUGGGAUUACAGGCGUGGGCCACCGUGUCCGGCCACAGUUCCUCUUUAUAUUACACCUAAACUUGCUCUGUGAGUUUGUAAGACCACAGAAUUCCAUAUUCUUAGAACCUAGAAGUGUUAUUCAACUUCUUUUCUUCUCUUUACACAUCUCAUGAAAGCCAUAUGGACUUCCUAAUAUAGGGACAAUUAUUUUUAAAAACCCACAGUCACCCAAUUCAGUGGAAAAAAAUUCUGUCCCUAUCCAUAUAUCUUAGGAUAGAAGCUGGGGUGAAUGAGAGGAGACAUAGAAAAGUGAGUCCC